This 253-nucleotide ribosomal RNA is filed under the name uncultured bacterium. Its description in RNAcentral is "partial 16S ribosomal RNA". It matches the Rfam family "Bacterial small subunit ribosomal RNA", at positions 524 to 776 of the family's 1533-position model. The record is from RNAcentral.
UACAGAGGUCUCAAGCGUUGUUCGGAUUCAUUGGGCGUAAAGGGUGCGUAGGCGGCUUGGCAAGUCGGAUGUGAAAUCCCUCGGCUCAACCAAGGAAGUGCAUCCGAAACUGCUGAGCUUGAGUACUUAAGAGGAUCGCGGAAUUCCCGGUGUAGAGGUGAAAUUCGUAGAUAUCGGGAGGAACACCAGUGGCGAAGGCGGCGAUCUGGGAAGAUACUGACGCUGAGGUGCGAAAGCGUGGGGAGCAAACAGG